CCUGCCCUAGAGUUAUUACAGGUGUGUCUGAUUUGUCACAUGUGCAUCAGGAGGUGGCAGAGAGGAGAGAGGCUCUGCUAUACUCAGUGUUCUGACCUAUUAUAAACGGCUGAAUAAUUAGGAGCCUAACCUU
Apodemus sylvaticus (European woodmouse) is the source of this 133-nucleotide small nucleolar RNA. RefSeq annotates it as small nucleolar RNA SNORA17. The record is from RefSeq and is a predicted model, not a curated record. NCBI's taxonomy places the organism in Eukaryota, Metazoa, Chordata, Mammalia, Rodentia, Muridae. The transcript has a single exon.